RNAcentral lists this ribosomal RNA (1533 nucleotides) under Triticum aestivum (bread wheat). RNAcentral's name for it is "partial small subunit ribosomal RNA". Lineage: Eukaryota; Viridiplantae; Streptophyta; Magnoliopsida; Poales; Poaceae. The record is from RNAcentral.
AUGGAGCGAAACAUCAUCGUCCUCCUAUCCCUUCUUCUCUGCCUCCUCUCGUGCCAUGUAUCCGCAGCCGGCGCCACCGCCAAGCGGCGGCUCUCGUCGCCGCUGUCGCGUCCCCAUCGUGUGAUCACGGCGGAGGCGGCGCCGGCCACGACGGUGCCGGCGAUGGUGCAGUAUGAAACGCGGUACCACACACAGCGGCUGGACCACUUCAACGCGGCGCCGGCGAGCUACCGCACGUUCCCGCAGCGCUACCUGGUGAACGGCACGUACUGGGGCGGCAAGACGGCGCCGGUGUUCGUGUAUGCCGGUAACGAAGGCAACAUCGAGCUCUUCACCAACAACACCGGCUUCAUGUGGGAGCUCGCGCCUCGCUUCCGCGCCAUGCUCGUCUUCAUCGAGCAUCGAUACUACGGGCGAUCGGUACCGUUCGGGAGCGAGGAGGCAGCAUUCAGGAACACGAGCACGGCGGGGUACCUGACGACGACGCAGGCUGUCGCCGACUUCGCCACGCUCGUCCAAAGCCUCAAGGCCAACCUCAGCGCACCGACCGCCCCCGUCGUCGUCUUUGGCGGCUCCUACGGCGGCAUGCUGGCAGCGUGGAUGAGGAUGAAGUACCCGCACGUGGUCAUUGGCGCCGUCGCGUCGUCGGCACCAAUCCUCAGCUUCUACGGCAUGGCCGACCCCUACGCCUUCUACGACAUCAUCUCCAACGAUUUUAAGAGCGAGAGCAAGAAUUGCCACGACGUACUCAUGAACUCGUGGAAGGAGCUGGACAAGGCGCUGUCCAAUGACGCCGGCCGGGCGCAGCUCAACAGUACGUUCAAAAUGUGCCGAGGUAGUACAGUGGAGGCGAUACCGGACUUGCUCGACACCGCCAUCGUCUACUCCGCCAUGACGGACUACCCGACGGAGUCCGGCUUCCUCACCCACCUCCCGGCCUAUCCCGUCAAAGAGAUGUGCCGCGCGAUCGACAACCCGAAGUCGGGCAAGGACACCUUCUCGAGGGUCAACGACGCCUUGAUGGUCUACUACAACUACACCGGCAACACGCACUGCCUCGGCGACGCCACCGAGCAUGACCCUUACGGCAUGUUCGACGGCUGGGACUUUCAGGCGUGCACGGAGAUGAUCCUCAUGAGCUACGGCGUCCGCAACGGCAGCGUUCUGCCGCCGGAGCCCUUCAACUUCACCAAGCUCCUCGACGGCUGCCGCGCCUCCACCGGCCUGCCGCCGCGGCCAUACUGGAUCCCCACAGAGUUCGGAGGAUUCGAUAUUGCAAAUGUUUUGAAGAGAUCAGCUAGCAACAUCAUCUUCUUCAACGGGCUCCGAGAUCCAUGGAGCAGUGGCGGCGUACUGAAGGACAUCUCAAGAAGCAUCGUUGCACUGGUUGAGCCAAAAGGUUCACACCACGUAGACUUGAGAUUCUCCAGCAAGGACGACCCUGAUUGGCUUAAGCAGGUGCGGGAAAAGGAGACGAGAAUCAUAGGGCAUUGGCUCAAUCAAUACUACAAAGAUGAAGCCAUAAAGUCCUAG